Micropterus dolomieu (smallmouth bass) is the source of this 594-nucleotide long non-coding RNA. RefSeq lists it as uncharacterized. Lineage: Eukaryota; Metazoa; Chordata; Actinopteri; Centrarchiformes; Centrarchidae. The record is from RefSeq and is a predicted model, not a curated record. The transcript is spliced from 3 exons.
AGCAUCAGACAUUGGAGCCAGCUGCAGAGUUAGUACCUGCUUGCCCGGCCCCCUUAGCCUGCCCGUCUUCCUCCGCCGCCUGGGUGAAAGUCUGAGCGGGGGAUGGGCUAGAGUGACGCUGGCGUCUCAUGAAGGGGAACACGCUGAGUGAAAGGAGAGAAAGAAAGGCCUGCCAGAAACACAGGUUCUCCGCUAGCGAAGAGACAGACAAUGAGGCAUGAGGGUAUGCAUGGAAGUGAAGAAAACAACGCGAGGAAAAAGUGAUGGCUGGCCUCUGCGGAAAACCUUGGCCCCUGGCAAUUUCAUACGUCUGCAUGGAUGAACAAAUCUGUUUCCGUCCUUAUACCUAUAUUGUUUUUCCUUAUCUACUCCUUCCAUCUCUCACCACUGGGAUUGGAAAAUGUCAUAAGGGAAGAAAAUUCUGAAUGCUAACAAGAGUAAGAAUCAAUUUAAGGUAGGUCAUGAACUCCCGCCUCCCCAUGCUGUCAUUGAGAAGCUCCAUGAAGCUGAAGCUCCAACGUUCCACCCGAAGACGUGUCGGUGUGGGCACCCUGUUCACAACGACACACCAACAACACAAACACAGCCAAGCAC